Transfer RNA from Corvus brachyrhynchos (American crow), 75 nucleotides. It matches the Rfam family "tRNA". From Rfam's summary of the family: Transfer RNA (tRNA) molecules are approximately 80 nucleotides in length. Their secondary structure includes four short double-helical elements and three loops (D, anti-codon, and T loops). The record is from Rfam. NCBI's taxonomy places the organism in Eukaryota, Metazoa, Chordata, Aves, Passeriformes, Corvidae.
GACUUUUUAGACUCAGUCGAUUAGAGCAUGGUGUUAAUAAUGCCAAGGUCACAGGUUUGAUCCCUGUACAGGCCA